GAGUUUGAUCGUGGCUCAGAGUGAACGCUGGCGGCAGGCCUAACACAUGCAAGUCGAACGGCAGCGCAGCAGUAGCAAUACUGUGGGCGGCGAGUGGCGGACGGGUGAGGAAUACAUCGGAAUCUACCUUGUCGUGGGGGAUAACGUAGGGAAACUUACGCUAAUACCGCAUACGACCUACGGGUGAAAGCGGCGGACCGCAAGGCGUCGCGCGAUUGGAUGAGCCGAUGUCCGAUUAGCUAGUUGGCGGGGUAAGAGCCCACCAAGGCGACGAUCGGUAGCUGGUCUGAGAGGAUGAUCAGCCACACUGGAACUGAGACACGGUCCAGACUCCUACGGGAGGCAGCAGUGGGGAAUAUUGGACAAUGGGCGCAAGCCUGAUCCAGCCAUGCCGCGUGUGUGAAGAAGGCCUUCGGUUGUAAG
Molecule: ribosomal RNA, 423 nt
Filed under: uncultured Gammaproteobacteria bacterium
Lineage: Bacteria; Pseudomonadati; Pseudomonadota; Gammaproteobacteria
Description: bacterial SSU rRNA
Rfam family: Bacterial small subunit ribosomal RNA
Source: RNAcentral